GCAGCCUGCAACUCGGCUGCAUGAAGCUGGAAUCGCUAGUAAUCGCGGAUCAGAAUGCCGCGGUGAAUACGUUCCCGGGUCUUGUACACACCGCCCGUCACACCAUGGGAGUCGGGAAUGCCCGAAGUCAGUGACCCAACCGAAAGGGGGGAGCUGCCGAAGGCAGGCCUGGUAACUGGGGUGAAGUCGUAACAAGGUAGC
This 201-nucleotide ribosomal RNA is filed under the name uncultured bacterium. RNAcentral's name for it is "partial 16S ribosomal RNA". It matches the Rfam family "Bacterial small subunit ribosomal RNA", at positions 1300 to 1500 of the family's 1533-position model. The record is from RNAcentral.